This 387-nucleotide ribosomal RNA is filed under the name uncultured bacterium. Its description in RNAcentral is "bacterial SSU rRNA". It matches the Rfam family "Bacterial small subunit ribosomal RNA", at positions 28 to 416 of the family's 1533-position model. The record is from RNAcentral.
GACGAACGCUGGCGGCGUGCUUAACACAUGCAAGUCGAGCGGUAAGGCCCUUUCGGGGGUACACGAGCGGCGAACGGGUGAGUAACACGUGGGUGACCUGCCCUCAGCUCUGGGAUAAGCCUGGGAAACUGGGUCUAAUACUGGAUAUGACUCCACGGUGCAUGUCGUGGGGUGGAAAGCCUUGUGCGGCUGAGGAUGGGCCCGCGGCCUAUCAGCUUGUUGGUGAGGUCACGGCUCACCAAGGCGACGAUGGCUAGGGGGUGUGAGAGCAUCGGCCCCCACACUGGCACUGAGACACUGGCCAGACACCUACGGGUGGCUGCAGUCGAGAAUCUUCGGCAAUGGGCGCAAGCCUGACCGAGCGACGCCGCGUGCGGGAUGAAGGUC